CCAGCACCCGCGGUAAUUCCAGCUCCAAUAGCGUAUAUUAAAGUUGUUGCAGUUAAAAAGCUCGUAGUUGGAUUUCUGGCAGGAGCGUCCGGUCUCACUCUCAGUGCGGGAACUUGGAUGUCUCUGGCCAUCUUUGGGGAUAUCCUGUUUGGCAUUAAGUUGUCGGGCAGGGGAUACCCAUCGUUUACUGUGAAAAAAUUAGAGUGCUUAAAGCAGGCUUAUGCCGUUGAAUAUAUUAGCAUGGAAUGGGACUUUGGUACUAUUUUGUUGGUUUGUGCACCAGAGUAAUGAUUAAUAGGGACAGUUGGGGCUAUUCGUAUUCCAUUGUCAGAGGUGAAAUUCUUGGAUUUCUGGAAGACGAACUACUGCGAAAGCAUUUAGCAAGGAUGUUUUCAUUAAUCAAGAACGAAAGU
Molecule: ribosomal RNA, 413 nt
Filed under: uncultured eukaryote
Lineage: Eukaryota
Description: SSU rRNA
Rfam family: Eukaryotic small subunit ribosomal RNA
Source: RNAcentral